RNAcentral lists this unclassified non-coding RNA (303 nucleotides) under Hevea brasiliensis (rubber tree). Lineage: Eukaryota; Viridiplantae; Streptophyta; Magnoliopsida; Malpighiales; Euphorbiaceae. The record is from RNAcentral.
AAAAGACCUUAUGAGGUUGCAAACCAAAUAUAGACCUGAAAUAUAAAAAUUGUUUGAUCUUUCAUUUGCUUUCUCAAAACUUCUUAUUGGCUCCAUCAGAGAUUGGUAGAGAAAUAUUUAAGAAGGGGUGCUGCAGAUAUGGAACUUGCCAAUAUGAUAGCAGUGUGUAUGGGCCAAUGUUAACCUGGACUAUGGUAUGCACUAAUUAUCUGUAAGUAGGUGAAAGAAGACGCAAAUACCUAAAGUUCAUAUUUAAAAGAAAUAAACUUUGAUAUAGCUUUUAUGUUAAAUAUGAGGCCCACA